This is a long non-coding RNA of Nanorana parkeri, 89 nucleotides long. RefSeq lists it as uncharacterized. The record is from RefSeq and is a predicted model, not a curated record. NCBI's taxonomy places the organism in Eukaryota, Metazoa, Chordata, Amphibia, Anura, Dicroglossidae. The transcript is spliced from 3 exons.
CCUUUUGCUUUGUGUGGCCAUUCUGCAAUUGCCUAUUAUUUAUUAUCAAUGAAUACUAGCCAUGCUCUGAUUGGACAAGGGGCAGCAAU